RNAcentral lists this ribosomal RNA (339 nucleotides) under Phylloneura westermanni. Its description in RNAcentral is "partial 12S ribosomal RNA". Lineage: Eukaryota; Metazoa; Arthropoda; Insecta; Odonata; Platycnemididae. The record is from RNAcentral.
GUAUUAGUUAUUUUCUUAAAACCCAAAGGAUUUGGCGGUAUUUUAUUCUAUUUAGAGGAACCUGUUCUUUAAUUGAUAUUCCACGAUUUUAUUUACUUAAUUUUGUAUUCAGUUUUUAUACCUCCGUCAUAAGAGUGUCUUGUUAGAGUUAAUUCUCUUGAUUUUUAAAAGAUAAAGAUGGCAGGUCAAGGUAAAGCUUAUAAUUAAGUGGAAAUGGGUUACAAUAAUAUUAUUUAUACGGAUUCUUUUAUUUAUAAAUUAGUUGAAGGUGGAUUUAAUUGUAAAUUUAUUUUUUAGGUUUUUUGAAAAUUUAGCUCUAAAAUAUGUACACAUCGCCCG